This 395-nucleotide unclassified non-coding RNA is filed under the name soil metagenome. RNAcentral's name for it is "partial contains 5.8S ribosomal RNA, internal transcribed spacer 2, and large subunit ribosomal RNA". The stretch from base 1 to 122 matches the Rfam family "5.8S ribosomal RNA", at positions 35 to 154 of the family's 154-position model. The record is from RNAcentral.
GAUGAAGAGCGCAGCGAAAUGCGAUACUUGGUGUGAAUUGCAGAAUCCCGUGAACCAUCGAGUCUUUGAACGCAAGUUGCGCCCGAAGCCAUCAGGUUGAGGGCACGUCUGCCUGGGCGUCACAUAUCGUUGCCCAAUGCCUAUUGCAGUGCAAUAGGAAUUUCUAGGGCGAAUGAUGGCUUCCCGUGAGCGUUGUUGCCUCGCGGUUGGUUGAAAAUCGAGUCCUUGGUAGGGUGUGCCAUGGUAGAUGGUGGUCGAGUUAGAACGAUACCGAUCAUGUGCAUGCUCCCCAAAAUAUGGCCUCUAUGACCCACACGCGUCUUUUGACGCUCAUGACGAGACCUCAGGUCAGGCGGGGCUACCCGCUGAAUUUAAGCAUAUCAAUAAGCGGAGGA